This 293-nucleotide unclassified non-coding RNA is filed under the name uncultured fungus. RNAcentral describes it as "partial contains small subunit ribosomal RNA, internal transcribed spacer 1, and 5.8S ribosomal RNA". The stretch from base 1 to 73 matches the Rfam family "Eukaryotic small subunit ribosomal RNA", at positions 1759 to 1831 of the family's 1831-position model. The record is from RNAcentral. Lineage: Eukaryota; Fungi.
UCAAACUUGGUCAUUUAGAGGAAGUAAAAGUCGUAACAAGGUUUCCGUAGGUGAACCUGCGGAAGGAUCAUUAUCGAGUUAGGGUCUUUGGCCCGACCUCCAACCCUUUGACUAAAUUACCUGUUGCUUUGGCGUGCCCGUCGCAAGACCGCCGGCGGUGGAGACACCUCUGGCCAGUGCCCGCUAACAGCCCCUUUAAACUCUUGUUAAACGUGGAAUCUGAGUAUAAGAUCUAAUUACACAAAACUUUCAACAACGGAUCUCUUGGUUCUGGCAUCGAUGAAGAACGCAGC